Molecule: small nucleolar RNA, 155 nt
Filed under: Nicotiana sylvestris (wood tobacco)
Lineage: Eukaryota; Viridiplantae; Streptophyta; Magnoliopsida; Solanales; Solanaceae
Also listed under: 1 other name
Description: Small nucleolar RNA snoR2/U65
Rfam family: Small nucleolar RNA snoR2/U65
Source: Rfam by way of RNAcentral
GGUCCGGUGCCACGUCGGCGGUAGCAAAAAAAUAGCAGUGACCGGCGAUGCUAUGAUCGGACCAACAUCAAGUUUUUUUGACGCUUCGCAUUUUGAUAGGAAUCUGUGGAUGAAUAUUUGGUUUUUCCACGGAGCCGUUUUGUGCGAUUACAUUU